AUGUCUAUCUACAGCGGCGGCGGCAGAAACACAAGCACAUGGACGACGACGAACUCCUUUAACUUUACCUACAAAGAACGAACGCUGUGCCGAAACAGGGGAGGGAGGUCCGGGAGAGGCAAUGUACUUAUUUCUUGUAGACAUGAUGGUGACGAUGAUGAUGAUGACGAUCAUGGUUCACCGGCCGUCGGCGGACGUGAAGGACUCGGCGAACCCGGCAGGCCGGGCGGGGAUGCUGCCCUUGCUGUCUUCCAGGCUCAGGCUCAUGAUGCUGCCGUCCGUCAUGCUCGCCUCCGACUCCUGCCACCCCUUCACCAUCUGGAGCAGCGGCAGGUGCAGGUCGAGGUUGUUGACCCGGCCGUCGCGGUCGCAGGAGACGUGGUCCCACCCGCCGCCGCACGGGUCGGCGCCCUUGGGCCAGCCGAGGACCUCCGGGUUUGUGAGCGAGCGCCGCAGGUCCUCCAGCACGGCCAGGUCGCCCGGGUGGAUCGUCGCGGCCGUGGCCACCCCGCCGCCGAGCAUGGCGUCGGCGGCGAGGAGGAGGAUGAGGGGGAGGAGCGGCGGCGUUGCCAUGGGGCAAGGCUACGGGUCCGGGUGCAUUGGCGGCGGCGGGGCGGACGGAGGUGGGCUGCGGUGGCGUCGGCGGUGGGGUGGGGAGGAAGGAAGGGAGGGAGGGAUGGGGGUGGGGAUAAGCGGCGAGGUGAGGGGGAUUUGCCUCGUGCUUUGGUGUGGUUUCCUUUGCUGUGGUCGGCAGCGUCGCCGGGAAUGUGA
Molecule: ribosomal RNA, 771 nt
Filed under: Triticum aestivum (bread wheat)
Lineage: Eukaryota; Viridiplantae; Streptophyta; Magnoliopsida; Poales; Poaceae
Description: partial small subunit ribosomal RNA
Source: RNAcentral